RNAcentral lists this unclassified non-coding RNA (230 nucleotides) under root metagenome. Its description in RNAcentral is "partial contains small subunit ribosomal RNA, internal transcribed spacer 1, and 5.8S ribosomal RNA". The record is from RNAcentral.
UCUCCGUUGGUGAACCAGCGGAGGGAUCAUUACAGAGUUGCAAAACUCCCAACCAUUGUGAACCUACCUCACCGUUGCUUCGGCGGGUGGCACGCUAACCCCGCGCCGCGCCGGCCCUCUCUCGGGGGCCUGGCAACCCGUCAGAAGCCUUAAACUCUCUGUAUUUAUUGGCCUCUCUGAGUAACUUAUACAAUAAGUCAAAACUUUCAACAACGGAUCUCUUGGUUCUG